Molecule: ribosomal RNA, 468 nt
Filed under: uncultured bacterium
Lineage: Bacteria
Description: partial 16S ribosomal RNA
Rfam family: Bacterial small subunit ribosomal RNA
Source: RNAcentral
GACGAACGCUGGCGGCGUGCUUAACACAUGCAAGUCGAACGGAAAGGCCCUGCUUUUGUGGGGUGCUCGAGUGGCGAAAGGGUGAGUAACACGUGAGUAACCUGCCCUUGACUUUGGGAUAACUUCAGGAAACUGGGGCUAUUACCGGAUAGGAGCUCUUGCAGCACGGUGGGGGUUGGAGAGUUUCGGCGGUUGGGGAUGGACUCGCGGCUUAUCAGCUUGUUGGUGGGGUAGUGGCUUACCAAGGCUUUGACGGGUAGCCGGCCUGAGAGGGUGACCGGCCACAUUGGGACUGAGAUACGGCCCAGACUCCUACGGGAGGCAGCAGUGGGGAAUAUUGCACAAUGGGCGGAAGCCUGAUGCAGCAACGCCGCGUGCGGGAUGACGGCCUUCGGGUUGUAAACCGCUUUCGCCUGUGACGAAGCGUGAGUGACGGUAAGGGGAAAAGAAGCACCGGCUAACUACGUG